CCUUUGUACACACCGCCCGUCGCUACUACCGAUUGAAUGGCUUAGUGAAGCGUCCGGACUGGCUCAGGGAGGUCGGCAACGACCACCCCGAGCCGGAAAGUUCGUUAAACUUGGUCAUUUAGAGG
This 125-nucleotide ribosomal RNA is filed under the name Elasticomyces sp. RNAcentral's name for it is "partial small subunit ribosomal RNA". It matches the Rfam family "Eukaryotic small subunit ribosomal RNA", at positions 1657 to 1779 of the family's 1831-position model. The record is from RNAcentral. Lineage: Eukaryota; Fungi; Ascomycota; Dothideomycetes; Mycosphaerellales; Teratosphaeriaceae.